CCGUAAUUUGUUUUAAAUAAUUUAUUUUUGACAAUAGCUUCUACCAAUUUUAUUUAUUUUUGUUCACAUUAUUAUGAUUUUCUUCUUAUUAUGCUAGUUCAAGUGAAUGGUUAGCAUUAAGCAUUACAAACUAACAUAUGACAUCGGUUUUGACUGUGACGUAUAGGUGGCGGUGACGUAAAUGAUAGAUACACUGUAAGGUUGCAUUCUAAUUUCACCAACAGAUCAAAUGACCUUACAGUGUACUUGAACGUUACCGAAACUCGUUGAAAGUGACGUCACCGUUAAGACGAUGGAAUCACAUGUAACGACUAUUACUGGUCAUUUUGUGUUAAGAGUCAGAACAAUGAAAAGCUAAAGGAAAUAACUUAGCUAGGAAAAGUGUCACUUGUUUAGUAUAGAAUUGUAAUAAUUGAAAUCGAUUUGAUACAUUAAUAUUAAUCAAUUGGAUGAAUUAAAAAUUUUUUAAUACCAUUAGGAGAAUAUUUGAAGGUUAACGACAGUGACAUCUGCGUUUCAGAUCUCUGAACUGAGAUAGAAAUAGCGUGGUCAUAUACCCACAGAGCUCGUUUUUCUACACUAUAAAGUUAUACAAGUAUAACAGCAAGACAACUUUGUAGGAGAAGGAUUUAUAUCCCACAACUCUACAAACUCAUAUAAAAUAUACCAUCACGUUCAACAACCAGUGGAUGAUAAUUCGAAAUCAGGGUGAACCAACAACAAAUAUUUUCAAG
Molecule: long non-coding RNA, 734 nt
Organism: Lucilia sericata (common green bottle fly)
Lineage: Eukaryota; Metazoa; Arthropoda; Insecta; Diptera; Calliphoridae
Exons: 2
Source: RefSeq, a predicted model, not a curated record